CCUACGGGAGGCAGCAGUGGGGAAUAUUGCACAAUGGGGGCGACCCUGAUGCAGCGACGCCGCGUGAGUGAAGAAGGAUUUCGGUAUGUAAAGCUCUAUCUGCAGGGAAGAAAAUGACGGUACCUGAGUAUGAAGCCACGGCUAACUACGUGCCAGCAGCCGCGGUAAUACGUAGGGGGCAAGCGUUAUCCGGAUUUACUGGGUGUAAAGGGAGCGUAGACGGGAUCACAAGUCAGUAGUGAAAUUCCGCGGCUCAACCCUAGAACUGCAUUGGAAACUGUGAAUCUUGAGUGCAGGAGAGGUAAGUGGAAUUCGUGGUGUAGCGGUGAAAUGCGUAGAUAUUAGGAAGAACACCAGUGGCGAAGGCGGCUUACUGGACUGUAACUGACGUUGAGGCUCGAAAGCGUGGGUAGCAAACAGGAUUAGAUACCCGGGUAGUC
Molecule: ribosomal RNA, 440 nt
Filed under: uncultured bacterium
Lineage: Bacteria
Description: partial 16S ribosomal RNA
Rfam family: Bacterial small subunit ribosomal RNA
Source: RNAcentral